UGGGGAAUAUUGCACAAUGGGCGCAAGCCUGAUGCAGCCAUGCCGCGUGUAUGAAGAAGGCCUUCGGGUUGUAAAGUACUUUCAGUCGGGAGGAAGGUGUCAAGGUUAAUAACCUUGGCAAUUGACGUUACCGACAGAAGAAGCACCGGCUAACUCCGUGCCAGCAGCCGCGGUAAUACGUAGGUGGCAAGCGUUGUCCGGAUUUAUUGGGCGUAAAGCGAGCGCAGGCGGUUUCUUAAGUCUGAUGUGAAAGCCCCCGGCUCAACCGGGGAGGGUCAUUGGAAACUGGGAGACUUGAGUGCAGAAGAGGAGAGUGGAAUUCCAGGUGUAGCGGUGAAAUGCGUAGAUAUAUGGAGGAACACCAGUGGCGAAGGCGGCUCUCUGGUCUGUAACUGACGCUGAGGCUCGAAAGCGUGGGGAGCAAACAGG
This 429-nucleotide ribosomal RNA is filed under the name Chloroflexota bacterium. Its description in RNAcentral is "Chloroflexi bacterium partial 16S ribosomal RNA". It matches the Rfam family "Bacterial small subunit ribosomal RNA", at positions 355 to 776 of the family's 1533-position model. Lineage: Bacteria; Bacillati; Chloroflexota. The record is from RNAcentral.